GCAGCCGCUGGAGACCCGUCCUCCCCUCCCCCCCUCCCCUAGCCCGGCUUGGGGGUCCCUUCCCCUCGGCUCUGCCCCCACCCCGGCGAGGGGCUUGUCCUUGCCACUAGCGCCCCCCGCCCCUUAUCGCUGGAUUUAUUUUGCGGGGUGGCGCGGGGCUGAGUCGGGCUUGAAUCCUGGCGCAAGGAAGUAUUCUCACAGUAAUGAGAAACAGUGAAGAAAGGAGCAAUGUAGCGGUAUCAUUUUAUCAUACUUUUGGACUGAUUUGCAAUAUAAUACAACAACACUCAAAGACAAAGAAACAGUGGUGUCCCAAUCUCAAAUGCCACCGAAAGAAGGGUUCGCAGCCUUCAGAGAAGCACACGUGGCCUCUGCAGUGAGCUACGAUGAGCAGCCUGCGGAGGCGUGAAAGGCAGAGAGCUUGACAGAGGAACCUGUUGGGCUGCUGGCUGGGAGAUGCCAAGGUAAGCAUCCCCCAGCCAGAGACUGCCUCUGGCACCCCAGCCCAUUCCUCCCCCAUCUGUCUGCUCCUCCUCCUGCACUCCUACUCCACCUAACCCAAACCCUCUGUAUCCCCACUCCUGCAGCCAUACUCCCUCCCAGACCCUGCACCUCAGUCUCCUACCCCUGGUCACAGGGCCCUCCUUCACUCAGACUCCCUCCCAGAACCCACACCCCUUAUUGCACCCCAAUACCUUACCUCAAAUUUCUUUCUGAACUCAACCUCCAUGCCAGAUCCCACAUCUCCAUUAAAAUCAUGGAAGAGUGUGGCCCUCAAUCACUUACCUAAUUCUUUGAGUGGUCCCACCAUCAAAAAUUAUUGCCCAUCCCCUGAGCUAGAGAGAUGCAGCCAAUCUACCUUUCUUUUGGAUCACAUGAGCAGCUAAGGUAGUGAAGAAGAAUGGAGAAUCUGUCUCAUUCUUCAGUGUAAAUAUUUGAGAAAAGUAAUUGAC
This is a non-coding RNA of Pelodiscus sinensis (Chinese soft-shelled turtle), 953 nucleotides long. Lineage: Eukaryota; Metazoa; Chordata; Testudines; Trionychidae. The record is from RefSeq and is a predicted model, not a curated record.